GAUGAAGAACGUAGCGAAAUGCGAUACGUAGUGUGAAUUGCAGAAUUCCGUGAAUCAUCGAAUCUUUGAACGCACAUUGCGCCCGCCAGUAUUCUGGCGGGCAUGCCUGUUCGAGCGUCAUUUCAACCAUCAAGCCCCCGGCUUGUGUUGGGGACCUGCGGCUGCCGCAGGCCCUGAAAACCAGUGGCGGGCUCGCUGUCACACCGAGCGUAGUAGAUUUUCAUCUCGCUCAGGGCGUGCUGCGGGUUCCGGCCGUAAAAAGCCUUAUUUACCCAAGGUUGACCUCGGAUCAGGUAGGAAGACCCGCUGAACUUAAGCAUAUCAAUAAGCGGAGGA
RNAcentral lists this unclassified non-coding RNA (336 nucleotides) under soil metagenome. RNAcentral describes it as "partial contains 5.8S ribosomal RNA, internal transcribed spacer 2, and large subunit ribosomal RNA". The stretch from base 1 to 120 matches the Rfam family "5.8S ribosomal RNA", at positions 35 to 154 of the family's 154-position model. The record is from RNAcentral.